RNAcentral lists this ribosomal RNA (496 nucleotides) under uncultured bacterium. RNAcentral's name for it is "partial 16S ribosomal RNA". It matches the Rfam family "Bacterial small subunit ribosomal RNA", at positions 29 to 507 of the family's 1533-position model. The record is from RNAcentral.
AUGAACGCUGGCGGCGUGCCUCAUACAUGCAAGUCGAGCGAACAGACGAGGAGCUUGCUCCUCUGACGUUAGCGGCGGACGGGUGAGUAACACGUGGAUAACCUACCUAUAAGACUGGGAUAACUUCGGGAAACCGGAGCUAAUACCGGAUAAUAUAUUGAACCGCAUGGUUCAAUAGUGAAAGACGGUUUUGCUGUCACUUAUAGAUGGAUCCGCGCCGCAUUAGCUAGUUGGUAAGGUAACGGCUUGCCAAGGCAACGAUGCGUAGCCGACCUGAGAGGGUGAUCGGCCACACUGGAACUGAGACACGGUCCAGACUCCUACGGGAGGCAGCAGUAGGGAAUCUUCCGCAAUGGGCGAAAGCCUGACGGAGCAACGCCGCGUGAGUGAUGAAGGUCUUCGGAUCGUAAAACUCUGUUAUUAGGGAAGAACAAAUGUGUAAGUAACUAUGCACGUCUUGACGGUACCUAAUCAGAAAGCCACGGCUAACUACGUG